UUCCGGUUGAUCCUGCCGGAGGCUACCGCUAUUGGAGUUCGAUUAAGCCAUGCGAGUCUAGAGGCCUAGCCUCGGCGUACCGCUCAGUAACACGUGGGUAACCUACCCUAUGCUGGGGAAUAAGCUCGGGAAACUGAGAAUAAUACCCCAUAGUCCACUACGCCUGGAACGGUGAGUGGAUCAAAGCUCCGGCGGCAUAGGAUGGGCCUGCGGCGUAUCAGGUUGUAGGGGGUGUAAUGUACCCUCUAGCCAUCCACGCGUACGGGUGUUGGGAGACAUUGCCCGGAGAUGGAUUCUGAGACACGAAUCCAGACCCUACGGGGUGCAGCAGGCGCGAAAACUUGGCAAUGCGAGAAAUCGUGACCAGGGAACUCCAAGUGGCAGGGGUAAGACCCUGUCUUUUUCCGACUCUAAAUAGGUCGGCGAAUAAGGGGUGGGUAAGGACGGUGCCAGCCGCCGCGGUAAUACCGGCGCCUCAAGUGGUAGUCGCUUUUAUUGGGCCUAAAACGUCCGUAGCCGGUCUGGUACAUUCGUGGGUAAAUCAACUCGCUUAACGAGUUGAAUUCUGCGAGGACGGCCAGACUUGGGACCGGGAGAGGUGUGGGGUACUCUCAGGGUAGGGGUAAAAUCCUGUCAUCCUGAGAGGACCACCUGUUGCGAGGGCUCCACACUAGAACGGAUCCGACGGUCAGGGACGAAGCCUAGGGGCACGAACCGGAUUAGAUACCCGGGUAGUCCUAGGUGUAAACGCUGUGGACUUGAUGUUGGGGACGCUCCGAGCGUUCUCAGUGUCGAAGCGAAGGUGAUAAGUCCACUGCCUGGGGAGUACGGUCGCAAGGCUGAAACUUAAAGGAAUUGGCGGGGGAGCACCGCAACCUGAGGAUUGUGCGGUUUAAUUGGAUCAACGCCGGA
RNAcentral lists this ribosomal RNA (912 nucleotides) under uncultured archaeon. RNAcentral describes it as "bacterial SSU rRNA". It matches the Rfam family "Archaeal small subunit ribosomal RNA", at positions 1 to 922 of the family's 1478-position model. The record is from RNAcentral.